AGUGAACGCUGGCGGUAAGCCUAACACAUGCAAGUCGAACGGCAGCACAGGAGAGCUUGCUCUCUGGGUGGCGAGUGGCGGACGGGUGAGGAAUACAUCGGAAUCUACUCUGUCGUGGGGGAUAACGUAGGGAAACUUACGCUAAUACCGCAUACGACCUACGGGUGAAAGCAGGGGACCUUCGGGCCUUGCGCGAUUGAAUGAGCCGAUGUCGGAUUAGCUAGUUGGCGGGGAAAAGGCCCACCAAGGCGACGAUACGUAGCUGGUCUGAGAGGAUGACCAGCCACACUGUAACUGAAACACGGUCCAGACUCCUACGGGAGGAAGCAGUGGGGAAUAUUGGACAAUGGGCGCAAGCCUGAUCCAGCCAUACCGCGUGGGUGAAGGAGGCCUUCGGGUUGUAAAGCCCUUUUGUUGGGAAAGAAAUCCAGCUGGCUAAUACCCGGUUGGGAUGACGGUACCCAAAGAAUAAGCACCGACUAACUUCGUGCCAGCCGCCGCCGUAA
RNAcentral lists this ribosomal RNA (506 nucleotides) under uncultured bacterium. Its description in RNAcentral is "partial 16S ribosomal RNA". It matches the Rfam family "Bacterial small subunit ribosomal RNA", at positions 29 to 523 of the family's 1533-position model. The record is from RNAcentral.